RNAcentral lists this transfer RNA (89 nucleotides) under Planctomycetota bacterium. RNAcentral's name for it is "Planctomycetes bacterium tRNA-Ser". It matches the Rfam family "tRNA". From Rfam's summary of the family: Transfer RNA (tRNA) molecules are approximately 80 nucleotides in length. Lineage: Bacteria; Pseudomonadati; Planctomycetota. The record is from RNAcentral.
GGAGAGGUGUCCGAGUGGCCGAAGGAGCACGCUUGGAAAGCGUGUGUGUCGUCAAGGCACCGAGGGUUCGAAUCCCUCCCUCUCCGCCA